UACGUAGGGUGCGAGCGUUAUUCGGAAUUACUGGGCGUAAAGGGCGCGUAGGCGGUUGCUCAAGUCAGGCGUGAAAGCCCCGGGCUCAACCUGGGAACCGCGCUUGAGACUGGAGAACUAGAGUUCGGGAGAGGAUGGUGGAAUUCCCAGUGUAGAGGUGAAAUUCGUAGAUAUUGGGAAGAACACCAGUGGCGAAGGCGGCUCACUGGUCCGGUACUGACGCUGAUGUGCGAAAGCGUGGGGAGUAAACAGG
This 253-nucleotide ribosomal RNA is filed under the name uncultured bacterium. Its description in RNAcentral is "partial 16S ribosomal RNA". It matches the Rfam family "Bacterial small subunit ribosomal RNA", at positions 524 to 776 of the family's 1533-position model. The record is from RNAcentral.